Molecule: ribosomal RNA, 438 nt
Filed under: uncultured bacterium
Lineage: Bacteria
Description: bacterial SSU rRNA
Rfam family: Bacterial small subunit ribosomal RNA
Source: RNAcentral
UACGGAAGGCAGCAGUGGGGAAUAUUGCACAAUGGGCGCAAGCCUGAUGCAGCCAUGCCGCGUGUAUGAAAAAGGCCUUCGGGUUGUAAAGUACUUUCAGUCGUGAGGAAGGUGUUAAGGUUAAUAACCUUAGCAAUUGACGUUAGCGACAGAAGAAGCACCGGCUAACUCCGUGCCAGCAGCCGCGGUAAUACGGAGGGUGCGAGCGUUAAUCGGAAUUACUGGGCGUAAAGGGCACGCAGGCGGUUAAUUAAGUUGGAUGUGAAAUCCCCGGGCUUAACCUGGGAAUGGCAUUCAAGACUGGUUAGCUAGAGUCUUGUAGAGGGGGUAGAAUUCCAUGUGUAGCGGUGAAAUGCGUAGAGAUGUGGAGGAAUACCGGUGGCGAAGGCGGCCCCUGGACAAAGGCUGACGCUCAUGUGCGAAAGCUGGGGAGCAAAC